ACAGGGGGAAAAAGAAGGAAGAGAAGAGAGUGUUUGGAUAAGAAAAAUGGAGAAGAUAGAACACACAACAGUAUCCACAAAUGGCAUCAACAUGCACGUAGCAACAAUAGGGACAGGCCCUGAAAUCCUCUUCCUACACGGCUUCCCUGAACUCUGGUACUCUUGGCGACACCAACUGCUUUUUCUUUCCUCCCGUGGUUACCGCUGCAUAGCCCCUGACCUUCGUGGCUAUGGCGACACCGACGCUCCUGAAUCUGUGAAUCAAUACACUGUUUUCCACAUUGUGGGAGACUUGAUCGGCCUCCUUGACUCGCUGGGGAUCCAGCAAGUAUUUUUAGUGGGUCAUGACUGGGGGGCCUUAAUAGCCUGGUCCUUGUGCAUAUUUAGACCUGAUAGAAUCAAGGCCUUGGUAAACACGAGCGUCGCCUUCAUGCCGAGGAACCCACAAGUAAAGCCUCUGGAUGGGUUCAGGUUUAUGUUCGGUGAUGAUUACUAUAUCUGCCGAUUUCAGGAACCUGGAGAGGCCGAAAAAGACUUUGCUCAAGUUAAUACUGCCAAAUUGAUUAAAUCGUUUUUUACAUCUCGCGACCCAAGGCCACCUAUCUUUCCCAAGGAAGUAGGAGUCAGAGCUUUACCAGAUCCCCCAAGCCUGCCCUCUUGGUUAACAGAAGAAGAUGUCAAUUUCUAUGCUGCCAAAUUUAACCAGAAAGGCUUCAGUGGAGGAUUGAAUUAUUAUCGAAAUAUUAACCUGAAUUGGGAGCUCACAGCUGCAUGGACUAGGGUGGAAAUCAAAGUGCCGGUGAAGUUUAUCAUAGGAGAUCUGGAUCUUACCUACCACAUUCCUGGUGUCAAGGAUUAUAUACACAAUGGUGGCUUCAAGAAAGACGUGCCCCUCCUGCAGGACGUGGUUGUAAUGGAAGGAGUGGCUCACUUUCUCAACCAAGAAAAGCCAGAGGAAGUUAGUAAACACAUUUAUGACUUCGUUAAGAAGUUCUGAUCGGAAAGAGAGAAAUUAUUAGUUAAAAAAUAAUCAUUAAUAACACUUUUAUGUGAGGGAGGGAGCACUAUUUUUUAGUACUCCCAGUGCAUCUAAUAAUUAACUCAGAAAUAAUAGCCACGUGUUGUGCGUGUUAGGCCCCAGCUAGGUCAUGUUAACUUGCUCUUCUUCAACUUCAAUUGAAUAAAUGCUCCAUCUAGCCUCUCGGGGUCUAUAAAAUGUCACGGGAAGUUCAUCCUGUCAAUCUUCUUUGAUUUUCAAGGGAAUUUAUUGUCUUUUACUUCAUCUUAAUUAUUUCAAACAAAUAAACAAGAAAAUAUACGCGCAGCACAUGGCAAAGAACAUUGAUUUGGGGCUCCAGAACUCUGGUACACUCUUUGUUUCUUACGUAUAGAUUUCCCUAGAUAAUUAAAUAAAGGGUUUUUCCUGUCCAGAGCAGAGGAGGUUUUAAUUAGCUUUACUUGCCUACACAUAAGGAAGGAGUGUGUUAAGGAGCAGAUGAGUUUUAGAAAAGCCAAAAG
RNAcentral lists this unclassified non-coding RNA (1518 nucleotides) under Hevea brasiliensis (rubber tree). Lineage: Eukaryota; Viridiplantae; Streptophyta; Magnoliopsida; Malpighiales; Euphorbiaceae. The record is from RNAcentral.